GCAGGAGGCAGGGACAGACAGGAUGUCUUGCUAAGAGUCACCACUUUAUGUCACACCAUUUCAAAGAUUAGAAAACACCACUGUCAUCAGAAGCCCCAGCAUCCCAUAAGAGGGACAGCCACAAGAAUGCCCUAUGCAAGUUACUUUGCCUAACGCACCUUGUAUUUUGAUGGUUGAAGGCCUGCUGAAAUCUCCCUGCUGAAUGCUAGUGACCUUGACCUCUCUUGUAAUGAGGAAAGGAGCCUGAAGUUCAAUGUUUAUCGACCACAGAAACAAAAUGAGGCUGGAAUGAAGCGGGGGCCACCUGGGGAUACCCCAGGAGAAGGAAGCAAUGACCACCAGCCCAAGCAUAAGCUACCAAAUAGGUGCACAGCAGGGCAGUGUGGCCCACUUAGGAGUCCAUAAUCCCCUCAAACCUGAGGGCUAAGCUGUGACAGAUUCUGAGUGUACUAUAAAAUGCCUACCAUGAAGAACCACUGGCUGAGAGGUCACCAUUAUUUCUAGAAUGGCCUACUAGGAAGCAAAAUCUAACAAGUAGACCCAGGAAGGGCACGGGCAAGGUGGUCUGGUCUAUGGUGGGCCGCAGGAACAGGCAAAGAUGGUGCGACUAGCUUACAGCUACUGCAAAAACCCUGAGGAACUUGUAACCAGGCCUUUCCGAUCACCCACCAGGUGCCCAGCCGCCUGCAGCUCCAAAUACCUGAGCCAUGGUCGUGGGCCCUGCAGGCUUCCUGUGCGACUGCCACGAAUCCAGCCUGCAUGUUUGGGGAUGAUGCCUUCCAGAGCGAAAGUAGAGUCUUACAAUGGUGGGAAACACUGUGUUUCAGUUCAGUAACACGAAACGGAACUUAGACUACCCUGUCGCCCCAGAAAGACCAGCAUCUGUUUACUUAACUCACACACAGAACUUGCCACGCACAGAACUCGAGUCAGAUAUCUCUGCAGCUUGUCCGGGAUGCUCACCCAGAGGAAAAUGACAGAUACUUUCCCUUUCCAUGACUGCCUUGUCUAGGUGAUUCUGAUACUGAGGUUCUAUCACCUGCCACUCGCCAGAAUCUAAUGGGUGCUCCGGAAUGAAAUGUCUCCUAGUGAGUUCCUUGUCACAAGAAGCCAGUCAGCACGCACCUGCAAUGGUCCCCAAGGAACAGUACCAGAAACUGACCACAAAUGGCAUGUCCAAGUGCCGAGCCAAGGGCGCAAGCUCAGCUGCUGCUUUUGUUAAGAUGGGUUGCAUGUCCUAUUUACCUGGUGGCCUGCCUCACCUGGGUGGUCCUUGGGCAUUGGGCUUGUGGGUCCAGUGAUCUCUAGGCGUGAGAAUAUAUUAGUUCCUCUAUGAGUGAGGCCCCGAGAGAUAAAUUUCCACUUCCCAGAGUAGCACCCAGGUCCCUGGAGACCCCUCAUCUGCCUUUUGGAAGAAACAUGAGCCUACUUCACAAUCAGCAGACAUCUCCAGGGGAGGAACACCCAUCUCCUCCUGCAGCCUUGCUCAGAGAUCCCAUUACAGGCCCUCACAUAUGAACCUGUGUUGCCUUAGCCUCUUCCACAUGCGGCCAGGACACCCUGGCUCAGCUGCAGAUGAAAUCUCAGGAGACUUGGCCAGAGAGGAAUCUUAAGGGAGCUAGGGUUGGGGGUGGGGAGGUGGGGGAUGGGGUUGCUGGUAACAAGCUGCCAGAACCCGGCAAGCUUCCUGUUCAAGGCCUGGGAUUCUGCAGCAUGCCUGGGCAUGAACGCCUGGGCACGAGGACGUCAAGCCUGGUCCUGUGGACUCACUUUGUCUUCUCUGCUGCUGUGACCACGUGAGGUCGAGCUGUGGAUAUCCAGGCUGUAUUUCUUCAGGGGUGAUUGCUACCCAUAGCCUUUAAAAACCAAGGCCUGGCUGUCAAGGUCAUGGGUUGGGUGGAUGGGACCUGCUGGAAAGAUCCUAGAGAGUAUGUCCCUCUAUGCUGUGGUCAUGAUGGGAAGGAAAAGGCACUGGGGCUGCAGUUCCUAGGCGCCCCCUGGGAUCUCUCACUGGAGUCAUGGCUCCCAUCCCCAUGUGAAUUACAUUCAGUGCUAUGGUAAUUAGACUGGCUACAGAGUAGACUUCCCAGCUAUGAACCUAGGGACCAGCCUAAAGGUAGAGAGUAGUAAGCCUGGCUCUAGCCAAACAACCAGCCACUUUUCCAUAACUGGUUUUCAAUAUACAUUAAAAAUAAACAAACAACCAAAAAAACAAACAAACAAAAAAAAAAACCUUUCCAUUUUUGAGACAGGGUCUCAUUUUGCAGCCCAGGCAAGCUGGAACUUGCUAUGAAACAGUAACUCUGUACUGUCUACAUGGUCUUAAGCUAAGAAGUCAAGCCAGCCUUAUAAUCUUGAUGUGGAUGCAGGUUAUAGGAGCAUCCCCAGAUACUGAAGGGGACUGAAAAGAUGGCUCAAGCGGUUAAGAGCACUGGCUGCUCUUCCAGAGGUCCUGGGUUCAAUUCUCAUCAGCCACAUGGCAGCUCACAACUGUCUGUAUGUAACUCCUGUUCCAGGGGAUCCAACACCCUUACACAGAUCUAUACAUGCAGUCAAAUCACCAGAUAUACAUAAAUAAAAAUGAAUAAAUUGUUUUUUU
This 2599-nucleotide long non-coding RNA is filed under the name Mus musculus (house mouse). RNAcentral's name for it is "long non-coding RNA chr7:133004225-133006824". The record is from RNAcentral. Lineage: Eukaryota; Metazoa; Chordata; Mammalia; Rodentia; Muridae.